This 76-nucleotide transfer RNA is filed under the name Streptomyces sp. SW4. RNAcentral's name for it is "tRNA-Thr". It matches the Rfam family "tRNA". From Rfam's summary of the family: Transfer RNA (tRNA) molecules are approximately 80 nucleotides in length. Their secondary structure includes four short double-helical elements and three loops (D, anti-codon, and T loops). Further hydrogen bonds mediate the characteristic L-shaped molecular structure. tRNAs have two regions of fundamental functional importance: the anti-codon, which is responsible for specific mRNA codon recognition, and the 3' end, to which the tRNAs corresponding amino acid is attached (by aminoacyl-tRNA synthetases). tRNAs cope with the degeneracy of the genetic code in two manners: having more than one tRNA (with a specific anti-codon) for a particular amino acid; and 'wobble' base-pairing, i.e. permitting non-standard base-pairing at the 3rd anti-codon position. The record is from RNAcentral. Lineage: Bacteria; Bacillati; Actinomycetota; Actinomycetes; Kitasatosporales; Streptomycetaceae.
GCCUCCUUAGCUCAAUUGGCAGAGCAGCGAUCUUGUAAGUCGCAGGUCGUCGGUUCGAUUCCGACAGGGGGCUCCC